This 460-nucleotide ribosomal RNA is filed under the name uncultured bacterium. RNAcentral's name for it is "partial 16S ribosomal RNA". It matches the Rfam family "Bacterial small subunit ribosomal RNA", at positions 338 to 795 of the family's 1533-position model. The record is from RNAcentral.
CCUACGGGAGGCAGCAGUGAGGAAUAUUGGUCAAUGGGCGCGAGCCUGAACCAGCCAAGUAGCGUGAAGGAUGACUGCCCUACGGGUUGUAAACUUCUUUUAUAAAGGAAUAAAGUGAGGCACGUGUGCCUUUUUGUAUGUACUUUAUGAAUAAGGAUCGGCUAAAUCCGUGCCCUCAGCCGCGGUAAUUCGGAGGAUCCGAGCGUUAUCCGGAUUUAUUGGGUUUAAAGGGCGCGUAGAUGGGUUGUUAAGUCAGUUGUGAAAGGUUGCGGCUCAACCGUAAAAUUGCAAUUGAUACUGGCAGUCUUGAGUACAGUUGAGGUAGGCGGAAUUCGUGGUGUAGCGGUGAAAUGCUUAGAUAUCACGAAGAACCCCGAUUGCGAAGGCAGCUUACUAAACUGUGACUGACAUUGAUGCUCGAAAGUGUGGGUAUCAAACAGGAUUAGAUACCCCUGUAGUC